Molecule: unclassified non-coding RNA, 3584 nt
Filed under: Orussus abietinus
Lineage: Eukaryota; Metazoa; Arthropoda; Insecta; Hymenoptera; Orussidae
Description: uncharacterized LOC105702809, transcript variant X2
Source: RNAcentral
UUUAACACUUUUUCUUUCCGCAUUACCAUUUUGACGUUUACAUGAAUUUAUGCAAUGCAUUCUUAUACUAAACAGUAGUCAAGCCUUUAUAAUGUAGGCCGUGACACCGUGCCACAUGCACACACUAUACUAUGAUAGAGGAUCGUGAGCUAUAGUGCGUGCAGUGCACCGUAGGGUUUCAAGUAUAGUUACGUAUAAUUAGAGCAAGCCGAUUGACCGUGACACCUCUCAGUCGUGUCUUUGUCUCUGUCAUACUUGGUUAAACCUGAUGACUCUCUUGAAACGGUGUCCUAGAUGUUUGCACUUUCUCCGUCAUUGUCCUAUUCUCCAACUCUGCAUGGAACUACGAUGCGAAACCCUUUGAAAAAUCUUCGUCAUCGUGGAGCCUCUUCGACGGAUGAUGGAGAAUCAAAAAUAGCUUGUGGAAUUGCUAACAAUAUCCAUUGUUUAUUUUAAUUACACGUGUUUCAAGAGAGGCUCUGGUGAUCUCCAGCGAAGGGAUUAUGUUCAAAGCAGAGCCGUAGUCACUGUGGUCGGAGGAAAUCUGAGGAUUGAAUUUUAAAGGGAAUAUAAUUAUUAUAGUUAGUAUAACUAUCUACCAGCUUUGAGUAAAAGACUGUGUCUAGUUUUCCUUAAAAAGGAUCGGUAGUAUGAUUUAGAAAUGCUCAUAGAAUGGAUAUCAAUACGAUUGUAAAAUGACAUGAUAGUGAAAGACCAAAAAAAAUGUUAUACAAUAUUUUUACAUUGACAACAGUCAACUCUGAAAACUUUUAAAAAUAUUGUAUUACUUCUAAUUCCUUUUAAACAAGAAAUCACAUAUUAAUUGAAAUAUAAAUUGAAUUAUAAUGGUGUAUUGUCCUAGGAUUAUUGAUAUAAAAAUAUUAAUAUAAUCCUUGCAGUAAAGAUGACAGCUUAAUUCAAUAGAAUCAUAACAUUCAUACCGUGGAGACUUUUCCUGUGAUAAUAUGAUAAUUUAUCGAGGAUAUAAAAAAGGGAAAUCCAGAAAGAAUAAUGAGGACUACAUCCCUAAGUUUUUGCAAUGUAAUUUGAAAUAAACAAUUUCAAAGUGGUAACAAGAAACUUAACAAAAAUGGCAAAGAAGUCUGGGCCCAUCUGCCAGGCAAAGGCAACUCGUUGCCUGAAGGUUCCUUUAAAAUCAACAGAGCAGAUCUACUUAGUCUUUUUAAUUCCAACGCUGCUUAGUUGUAUCAUUUACAUUGUGCACUUCUCAUCCGAUUUGGUGGUAGCGAUACAGCAUUUUAGAGAAGAGCAUUCAGCAUGGGGAUGCUAUACGAUUGGUUUGAUGUAUGCUCCUGCUAUUGCAUAUUUUGGACUAACCGUCUCGAGACCAGACUGGUGGAUGACAGAAGAUGAUAAAUUGUCUAAGGGAGUCGUGCAAUGGUUUUUGCUACAAUUGUGUCAUCUUAUUGCAUUUCCACUAUUUGCACUUUACAGAUAUGCUGGCCAAAUAGUACUUGCAAUUGAUGCUAUUCUUCUAUCUGGACAAGAAAGGACAAAAACCUUAAACGUAGCUGCUGUACCAGCUGCCAUUGAAUUAUAUUUCUUCCUUCAAGCCUGGUUCCAGGCAGCGCCGCAAGCAGUACUGCAAACUCAUUUGCUGUUUCGACAGGAACAUAUCAUACGCAGUGCACAAUCUGUUACGGUCCACGUUCUGUGCAUCUUCAUGUCGAUUUUGGCACUUUCCAUACAGACAAUGUCCUUUCAAAGGUUUGAAAGCCAACGAGUAAAUGGUAGAAAGGUACCCUGGGCAAUGUGGUUAAAUAAGUAUCGCACUCAGGAUUUUGGAAGUUUAGGUGAAAAGAAACCAUUGCAAUCGACUGUACUACCUGAAGAAAAGAGUACUACAGAACAAACCACUUCUGAACAAAAUGUCGAGACGGAUUCCAAGGAAGAUCUAUUACCGGACAGACCAAGUAAUCCGCUGUAUCAAAAUCUCACCGAUGGAGUACCAGUUCUGGAACGUCAGAUUUCGACAACUCCUCCGUUGCCCCCUCGGAAUGUUCAGGUUACACCACCUCCAGCUCCUCUGCGAGGAAUCACAACGGUGACACCUCUUCCAAUACCAGAAAUGCCAGCACCCCCUCGACCAGACUCUGCACUAAUUUCACCGGAGUCUAAAUAUCUAAGUAAAGGAGCUUUGUUGCCAGCAGAACCAUCCGAAAGCCAGUACGAAAGGUCUCCAAGUUUAAGAGUGCCAACAAGAGUGUACACCACGAAGGGCCUCGAAGAGGACGAUCCCAUUGGCAAGUUUUUGGGCAUACUCUGGUGGUGGUUUUUUAUCGCACCCAGAAUAUUUUCCAUUGCUGUGUUCUACGAGUUUUACCCGGAAUAUUUGUUAAUAAUAGUGGGCCUGCAUUAUGUCAUCAUGCUCGCCUAUUUGUUCUACUACUCCAAGGAUUAUUGCGUAACAACAGUUGCCAUUAACCUGUGGCUUGGCAUGGUGUAUAUCUUUGGUAUAAUCGAAUAUAAAGUGAAGUUCAAGUAUGCAGAUCGCUGGAUUAUAUCCUACUAUGUGUUUAUGAUGUUGCAAAACACGUUUUUAUCACUAAUUUGGUACUUCUAUGCUGAAUGGGAUAGCUAUUGGUAUGCGUACAUAUUCUUUGCCACCUUCGCAAGUAUGGGACUUUGUAUAAUGUGUACUGUAGUGUAUUACGUUUUACUAAAGCCAAAGAAACACAGAGUGUAUGCUAGUUGACCCGACAAGCAAACAAGUAAUAUCAAACGAGUAUGUUUUAAAUGCAAAGCAUUGUUUGAAAAUGUCAAAAAUAUGUUACGCAGCCAAAGUUAGUCUUCGCGAACGUCUCUUCGUCUUUUAUCCAGGUAUCUUUUAUGGUCAAUGCUAGUCUUCACAAGUACUUUAUCACUUCUUCCAGUAAACGGCACGAAAAACUUAGUAAAAUAUUAAAGCGUUAAAGGAAGAAAUAAAAUCUUUGACAAAGGUAAAAAUGAAAGAAUGCAAAGAAAGUUAACCAAUAGCGUAAUCUAACUGUUAAAAGACUAAAAGAAAACGUGUUCCGUGGCUAGUAAUAGGUGGGGCAAAUACUUUUUGGAUUCUUCCAGUGAAGGAAGAAUGAACUUUAAGGAAAUUUAAAUUAUUCCUCACGGUAAGAAUGAAUGAAGUUGAGCUUCUUAAAAUAACAAUACGUAGAAUGAAAUUCAAAUUCAACGUUGAGGUCUCUACUAAAGGUGGAAAAGGUUCUUGCUUCACUUGAAACGAUCUCAUGUCCUCUAAAGUAAGUCCCAAUGAUUAUGAACAGAGUCCAAGUUAUAUACAGGUGUUCAAACAUUGAACUCGAUGGAUGCUGUAUGUGUUCAUAUUUAGAUAUUUAUUUGUUAUCUAACCGUUCAUAUAGUAAACACCAGAUGUAAGCUUAUGCAAAAGAUCCGCCGAAAAAAGACUUGUAAAUUUAGUUACUAAAUCUGGCAGCAGUCUCUUUUUAUCGUACCGAUAAAAAAUGUUAUUUUACUUAAUAGUAUGUACAGAAUUGUAAUGUACUAUAUACAAUAUAAAAGUCACUGCUCAUGUAUUGUUUUACACGAUUAUUAAAAUAACUCGAAACGAG